GCAUUAUCUCAGGCAAAACUCUUAAUAUGUUUGACCUAUGGUAGGGCUAAAAUGAGGAUAGAACUUUAAGAAGACAGAAGUUGAAGCUUGGCAACUUAGAGACACAGUUCCCUCUCAGAAAAGUUUUUUUCUGGCCUUUAUGUUGUUAAUCACCAUAGCAUUUAGAAUAGGAGAAGAUCAGGAAUUACUGUGUUGAAGGAUACCCUAAACCACCCUCAUGUUAGGAUAUUCACUGGAAGAACUCACAGGACCCCAUGUAUAGUUGUGCUCACAGCAAAAGUUUAUUACAGCAAUGUAGUAAGGAUGAACAACUGGAUCAUAAAGGAAAGAUGCAGACAGAGUCAGGAAUCUGUGUCCUCUCUCUCCCAUCAGGCUCACACAAAGCAUACUCUUCCUCCAAAAUAUAAAUGCAGUAACAUCUUCCUGCAGUGAUUCUGCCUAAGGAAACCCAGUAGAGACUCAGUAGUCAAGAUUUUUUAAAAAAGGUUUUGUUACAGAGACACCUCUGUCUAGCAUAUACCAAAAUUCCAGACUCCUAGAAGAAAAGCACAAUGAACCAUCCUUCUUUCUAAGGACAUCAGUCUCAGGCCAACUGUGUUAACUUUUUUCUGUAUUCAUAUCAAAUCCCUGAUGUCCAGCCUAUCUUGAAAAGAACUGGAGCCUCUGGUCCUACCAAACCUGCAUUCCCAUUUAUCAACUGCAAUAGCAGAAUGGUGCACCCCACUUCCAAGACACAUACUAAUUCCUGGAACCUGUUACUAUGUUUCCUUAUAGGAAGAGAUAUUUUGCAGAUGAGAUGAAGGUGAGAAUCUUGAGAUGGUGAGAUUAGUUUAAAGCAUCCUGGUGGACCCACUGUUCACAAGUGUCCUUAUUAGUUAAAGAGAGAAGCAUAACGGUCAGAAUCAGAAGAGGUCAGAUGCAGAGACUGGAAUGACAUGAUUGUUCGCUUUAAAGAUGGGCCAUGGUAGAAGAUGGAAGGCAAGGGACAGAGUCUUCCCUAGAAUCUUCCCUUCUAACACCCUUAUUUUAACUCCAUAGACCUAUUUUGGACUUUUGAUCUU
RNAcentral lists this long non-coding RNA (1061 nucleotides) under Marmota monax (woodchuck). Lineage: Eukaryota; Metazoa; Chordata; Mammalia; Rodentia; Sciuridae. The record is from RNAcentral.